This 251-nucleotide ribosomal RNA is filed under the name uncultured bacterium. Its description in RNAcentral is "partial 16S ribosomal RNA". It matches the Rfam family "Bacterial small subunit ribosomal RNA", at positions 524 to 766 of the family's 1533-position model. The record is from RNAcentral.
UACGUAGGAUGCAAGCGUUGUCCGGAUUUACUGGGCGUAAAGCGCGCGCAGGCGGCAGUACAAGUACCCUCUGAAAUCUCCUUGCUCAACGAGGAGGGUGGAGGGUAGACUGUGCAGCUAGAGGAGGGUAGAGGGGGGGUAGAAUUGCUGGUGUAGCGGUGAAAUGCGUAGAGAUCAAGCAGGAAUACCCGUGGCCGAAGGCGGCCCCCCUGGGCCCUAAAAUCCCCCUUUUGGAAAGCACACCCUUCGGG